This 460-nucleotide ribosomal RNA is filed under the name uncultured bacterium. RNAcentral describes it as "partial 16S ribosomal RNA". It matches the Rfam family "Bacterial small subunit ribosomal RNA", at positions 338 to 795 of the family's 1533-position model. The record is from RNAcentral.
CCUACUGGUGGCAGCAGUGAGGAAUAUUUGUCAAUGGACGAGAGUCUGAACCAGCCAAGUAGCGUGAAGGAUGACUGCCCUAUGGGUUGUAAACUUCUUUUAUAUGGGAAUAAAACGUUCCACGUGUGGGUUUUUGUAUGUAUCCUAUGAAUAAGGAUCGGCUAACUCCGUGCCAGCAGCCGCGGUAAUACGGAGGAGCCGAGCGUUAUCCGGAUUUAUUGGGUUUAAAGGGAGCGUAGGUGGAUUGUUAAGUCAGUUGUGAAAGUUUGCGGCUCAACCGUAGAAUUGCAGUUGAAACUGGCAGUCGUGAGUACAGUAGAGGUUGGCGGAAUUCGUGGUGUAGCGGUGAAAUGCUUAGAUAUCACGAAGAACUCCGAUUGCGAAGGCAGUUCACUGGACUGCAACUGACACUGAGGCUCGAAAGUGUGGGUAUCAAACAGGAUUAGAUACCCUAGUAGUC